This 72-nucleotide transfer RNA is filed under the name Camelus dromedarius (Arabian camel). It matches the Rfam family "tRNA". From Rfam's summary of the family: Transfer RNA (tRNA) molecules are approximately 80 nucleotides in length. Their secondary structure includes four short double-helical elements and three loops (D, anti-codon, and T loops). Further hydrogen bonds mediate the characteristic L-shaped molecular structure. tRNAs have two regions of fundamental functional importance: the anti-codon, which is responsible for specific mRNA codon recognition, and the 3' end, to which the tRNAs corresponding amino acid is attached (by aminoacyl-tRNA synthetases). tRNAs cope with the degeneracy of the genetic code in two manners: having more than one tRNA (with a specific anti-codon) for a particular amino acid; and 'wobble' base-pairing, i.e. permitting non-standard base-pairing at the 3rd anti-codon position. Lineage: Eukaryota; Metazoa; Chordata; Mammalia; Artiodactyla; Camelidae. RNAcentral also lists the same sequence under 1 other name. The record is from Rfam by way of RNAcentral.
GAAGGCAUAGCUUAGUGGUAGAGUGCAUGCCUAGCAUGCAUGAGGUCUUGGGUUCAAUUCCCAGUACUUCCA